This 253-nucleotide ribosomal RNA is filed under the name uncultured bacterium. Its description in RNAcentral is "partial 16S ribosomal RNA". It matches the Rfam family "Bacterial small subunit ribosomal RNA", at positions 524 to 776 of the family's 1533-position model. The record is from RNAcentral.
UACGGGGGGGGCAAGCGUUGUUCGGAAUUACUGGGCGUAAAGGGCUCGUAGGUGGCCAACUAAGUCGGACGUGAAAUCCCUCGGCUCAACCGAGGAACUGCGUCCGAUACUGGUGGGCUUGAAUCCGGGAGAGGGAUGUGGAAUUCCAGGUGUAGCGGUGAAAUGCGUAGAUAUCUGGAGGAACACCGGUGGCGAAGGCGGCAUCCUGGACCGGUAUUGACGCUGAGGCGCGAAAGCUAGGGGAGCAAACGGG